CAUUUUUCACUCCCUCUCGGAUCUAUUCCAAUCCAAUCCCUUCUCUUUCAUUUCAUUCUUCCCUUCAUCUUUCACUUCUCUACUCAACCUCUAUUUCUAUCUCAUUCCAUCCUUCAAUACCUGAUCUGCUCUUUUUCCUUUAUUCUUUCAUUUUCAAUCUCCUCUCCUUUGCUGCUUACGUUUUUUUCUCAAUCCUUUGACGAUCUUCUUCCACGACUCUCUCUCUCUCUCUCUUGUUUCGACUCUCCAAAAACAAGUGUGGUUGAUUUAUGAAUUUGCUUUUUCAAAUUUUACAGGUGUCGUGGUUUUGGUUUUAGGGCAAAAUCCAUAUGAUUUACAAAUUCAUAUUCUAAGAUACAUAAUUGACUUCUGUUUCUUCUUCUUGAAGAUUGUCUGUUCUGUAGGGAGGAUUUGAUAGUUGAAAAUGGGAAGCAAAGCACCAAGCUGGGCUGAUCAGUGGGGUUCAGGAAAUUACGGAGUGGAAGACGACGACAACAACAAUGCGGUCACAAAGAAAGGGAGCAGCAAUGGGAAUAGUAGCAAGAAGAUGGCAGAGGUAAAGGCAGCAGCCUCAGCAGGAUUUGUGAAGGCAAAGGCUGUUGCAACUGUGGGUGCUCAAAAAGUGAAAUCUGGAACUUCGGUAGGCAUCAAAUGGGUCAAGAAUCAGUACCAGAAAAAGGUCUCCAAAUGACUCUAAUAUGUUUAGGCCUUCAUUUGGGUUUUUUUCUUUUCAUUCUUGGUCUUAAAUAUAGCUCUGUAGUCUUAAAACUUUUGUAGUCCUUUUUAGUUUCCUGCAUUUUGUCGAACUCCUUUCCAUAAACUUCAAACGACAAAUGAGAUAUCAUAUCACAAAUUGCUAUAA
Molecule: long non-coding RNA, 862 nt
Organism: Cucumis sativus (cucumber)
Lineage: Eukaryota; Viridiplantae; Streptophyta; Magnoliopsida; Cucurbitales; Cucurbitaceae
Exons: 2
Source: RefSeq, a predicted model, not a curated record